GUUGGGCUCUGUGGCAUAUACCUGUAAUUUCAGCUAUUAGAGAGGCUGAGGCAGGAGGAUUGCUUGAGCCCAGGAGUUUGAGAUUAGUCUGGGCAACAAAGCAAGACUCUGUCCUCU
This 117-nucleotide small RNA is filed under the name Marmota monax (woodchuck). The record is from RNAcentral. Lineage: Eukaryota; Metazoa; Chordata; Mammalia; Rodentia; Sciuridae.